This 496-nucleotide ribosomal RNA is filed under the name uncultured bacterium. RNAcentral's name for it is "bacterial SSU rRNA". It matches the Rfam family "Bacterial small subunit ribosomal RNA", at positions 903 to 1397 of the family's 1533-position model. The record is from RNAcentral.
AAAGGAAUUGACGGGGGCCCGCACAAGCGGUGGAGCAUGUGGUUUAAUUCGAAGCAACGCGAAGAACCUUACCAGGGCUUGACAUUUACCUGGCGUCAUAUGGAAACAUAUGAUUUCCUUCGGGACGGGUAAACAGGUGGUGCAUGGUUGUCGUCAGCUCGUGUCGUGAGAUGUUGGGUUAAGUCCCGCAACGAGCGCAACCCUUAUUCUUAGUUGCCAUCACUACGGGUGGGCACUCUAAGGAGACUGCCGGUGACAAACCGGAGGAAGGUGGGGACGACGUCAAAUCAGCAUGCCCCUUAUGUUCUGGGCCACACACGUGCUACAAUGGCCGGUACAGCGGGUUGCGACCCUGCGAAGGCGAGCUAAUCCCUCAAAUCCGGUCCCAGUUCGGAUUGCAGGCUGCAAUUCGCCUGCAUGAAGUCGGAAUCGCUAGUAAUCGCGGAUCAGCAUUGCCGCGGUGAAUACGUUCCCGGGCCUUGUACACACCGCCCGU